Molecule: non-coding RNA, 107 nt
Filed under: uncultured Acutalibacter sp.
Lineage: Bacteria; Bacillati; Bacillota; Clostridia; Eubacteriales; Acutalibacteraceae
Source: RNAcentral
GGAAGAAGGGGUGCCCGCUUUCAGGCGGCUGAGAGGAGCUUCGAGCUUAAACCCUUUGCCCUUUGGGGCAGGAACCUGAUCCGGAUAAUACCGGCGUAGGGAGCAUU